GAUGAACGCUAGCGGCAGGCCUAACACAUGUAAGUCGAGGGGUAGAAGGAGCUUGCUCCUUUGAGACCGGCGUACGGGUGCGUAACGCGUAUGCAAUCUACCUUUUACAGAGGGAUAGCCCAGAGAAAUUUGGAUUAAUACCUCAUAGUAUAUAUCAUUCGCAUGUUUGGUAUAUUAAAGUUCCAACGGUAAAAGAUGAGCAUGUGUCCCAUUAGUUAGUUGGUAAGGUAACGGCUUACCAAGACGAUGAUGGGUAGGGGUCCUGAGAGGGAGAUCCCCCACACUGGUACUGAGACACGGACCAGACUCCUACGGGAGGCAGCAGUGAGGAAUAUUGGUCAAUGGACGCAAGUCUGAACCAGCCAUGCCGCGUGCAGGAAGACGGUCCUAUGGAUUGUAAACUGCUUUUGUACGGGAAGAAACACUCCUACGUGUAGGAGCCUGACGGUACCGUAAGAAUAAGGAUCGGCUAACUCCGUGCCAGCCGCCGCUGUAA
RNAcentral lists this ribosomal RNA (496 nucleotides) under uncultured bacterium. Its description in RNAcentral is "partial 16S ribosomal RNA". It matches the Rfam family "Bacterial small subunit ribosomal RNA", at positions 28 to 523 of the family's 1533-position model. The record is from RNAcentral.